Molecule: ribosomal RNA, 497 nt
Filed under: uncultured bacterium
Lineage: Bacteria
Description: bacterial SSU rRNA
Rfam family: Bacterial small subunit ribosomal RNA
Source: RNAcentral
UGAACGCUAGCGACAGGCUUAACACAUGCAAGUCGAGGGGCAGCAUAAAGUAAGCAAUACUUGGUGGCGACCGGCGCACGGGUGAGUAACGCGUAUGCAACCUACCUAUCAGAGGGGAAUAACCCGGCGAAAGUCGGACUAAUACCGCAUAAAACAGGGGCACCGCAUGGUGAUAUUUGUUAAAGAAAUUCGCUGAUAGAUGGGCAUGCGUUCCAUUAGGUAGUUGGUGAGGUAACGGCUCACCAAGCCGACGAUGGAUAGGGGAACUGAGAGGUUGGUCCCCCACCACUGGUACUGAGACACGGACCAGACUCCUACGGGAGGCAGCAGUGAGGAAUAUUGGUCAAUGGGCGGGAGCCUGAACCAGCCAAGUCGCGUGAAAGGAAGAAGGAUCUAUGGUUCGUAAACUUCUUUUGCAGGGGAAUAAAGUGCAGGACGUGUCCUGUUUUGUAUGUACCCUGAGAAUAAGGAUCGGCUAACUCCGUGCCAGCAGCGGC